UAGAGUUUGCCAGGCUUGUGAG
RNAcentral lists this unclassified non-coding RNA (22 nucleotides) under Mus musculus (house mouse). Its description in RNAcentral is "oocyte_clustered_small_RNA8748". The record is from RNAcentral. Lineage: Eukaryota; Metazoa; Chordata; Mammalia; Rodentia; Muridae.